UCUCUUUUACCGCUUAAUCACACAUGAACGGGGGAACCAUUUUCGAUCGUUUCAAAAAGCGAUCUUGGGGUGAAUCUUACGUUGUAAGAAGGGGUACUCUGAAUCCCUAAUCCGACAGCUAACCUCGCAGGCGUAUACAGAGAGGAGGU
RNAcentral lists this small RNA (149 nucleotides) under Bacillus atrophaeus. RNAcentral's name for it is "c-di-AMP sequence". It matches the Rfam family "c-di-AMP riboswitch aptamer (ydaO/yuaA leader)". Rfam says of the family: This family represents a conserved RNA structure found upstream of the ydaO and yuaA genes in Bacillus subtilis and related genes in other bacteria. Lineage: Bacteria; Bacillati; Bacillota; Bacilli; Caryophanales; Bacillaceae. The record is from RNAcentral.